This 1210-nucleotide long non-coding RNA is filed under the name Gadus morhua (Atlantic cod). RNAcentral's name for it is "lncRNA (ENSGMOG00000032437.1)". The record is from RNAcentral. Lineage: Eukaryota; Metazoa; Chordata; Actinopteri; Gadiformes; Gadidae.
AUGGACGCCAAAAGGAGAGCAGUUUUGUCAAUCACACUGGACACUUUCCUAGAACAGGAAAUCAUGGCUGUGAUUUUCCUGAAACAGUUCCAGAAUCUCGUGGAAGAAGAUAGAAGUAAACGCAAACGGGCUGUGGUUGAGGCUCUGUAUGUGCUGCGGCCCAGAGUGAACAUCAUCCUGAAGUCUGGCACAGAGUGGCAGAUAAUGCUAGACAUGGAUGAUCACACAUUUGCCCGGCAUUUCAGAGUAUCCAAAACCCGGUUUGACGUCCUUAAAGGGUACCUACAGGAGGGUGGCCUGCAAAGUGACCGCAGCCAUGGGCUUCCCCCCCUGCCUAUUCCCAAGAAGGUACUCAUGUUCCUGUGGUACAUGGGUAACCAGAACAGCUUCCGGGAGAUAUCAGACAAGUUUAACGUCUCAUCUUCAUCAGCACACCGCGCCAUACUCCAAGUGCUAACCAUCAUGUCCACCCUUGGCUGGGCUUUUGUCUCUUGGCCUAAAGGCUGUGAGAAGAGGGCGUCUGCCACCAGCUUCCAACGCACAUGUGGCCUUGAGAGGGUCAUUGGAGCGAUUGAUGGCUGCCACAUUAGAAUACAGUGUCCACGGGUCAGAGGAGUGGACUACAUGAACAGGAAGUCCUUCUACUCUGUCCUCCCCCUAGGGGAUUGUGGAUGCUGAAGGCCGAUUCAUCAAUGUCUUCACUGGAAUGCCUGGCAAAGUGCAUGAUGCCCGGCUGCUGCAGUCCUCCUGGUUUUUCCAAGAAUGGCAGGAGAGGAUGGGGAGUACCGUCUGCUGGGGGAUAGUGCAUACAUCGGUCAGGAUUUUCCCUUCAUCAUCUCCCCCCGGCGUGACAACGGGGCUCUUACUGAUGCAGACCUUCGUCGCAACACCGACAUCAGCCGGGGAAGAGUCAUCAUUGAGCAGGCAUUUGGGAGAAUGAAAUGCAAGUGGAGGCGCAUUAGAGAUUUGCAGAACACAUGCACUGUCACUAUUGCGAAGAUCAUCUUGGCUGCAUGUUAUCUUCACAACUUUGCCCAAGGUGCCUCGAUAGGGUGUGAUGAACACCCAGAUGGAUGUCCAAGAGAGGAUGAUGCCAACCAGUAGGAAGAGGUGUUCCUGCAAUUCUUGGCAAAACAAAAUACUAUUUCUGACUUCUAUUAUGUUAAUUAUUCAUUACGUUCAUUCAUCUAUUAUGUUCACUUUUCCUGUG